RNAcentral lists this unclassified non-coding RNA (341 nucleotides) under uncultured Mortierella. Its description in RNAcentral is "sequence contains ITS2". Lineage: Eukaryota; Fungi; Mortierellomycota; Mortierellomycetes; Mortierellales; Mortierellaceae. The record is from RNAcentral.
AACGCAUAUUGCGCUCUUUGGUAUUCCGAAGAGCAUGCUUGUUUGAGUAUCAGUAAACACCUCAAAGACUUCAAUUUGUUUUGAAUGGCUUUGGACUUGAGCAAUCCCAACACCAGUCUUUACGAUCGGCGGAGGGUUGCUUGAAAUGCAGGUGCAGCUGGACAUUCUCCUGAGCUAUAAGCAUAUCUAUUUAGUCCCGUCAAACGGAUUAUUACUUUUGCUGCAGCUAACAUAAAGGGAGUCUGACCGUAUUGGCUGACUGAUGCAGGAUUUCACAGGGGUUGGAAACGACUCUUGUAAAACUCGAUCUCAAAUCAAGUAAGACUACCCGCUGAACUUAA